This 281-nucleotide ribosomal RNA is filed under the name uncultured bacterium. Its description in RNAcentral is "partial 16S ribosomal RNA". It matches the Rfam family "Bacterial small subunit ribosomal RNA", at positions 30 to 292 of the family's 1533-position model. The record is from RNAcentral.
AGUGAACGCUGGCGGCAGGCCUAACACAUGCAAGUCGAGCGGCAGCGGGUUCCCGCGAGGGGAUGCCGGCGAGCGGCGGACGGGUGAGGAACACAUCGGGAAUCUGCCUGGUUGUGGGGGAUAACGGUAGGGAAACUUACGCUAAUACCGCAUGCGACCCUGAGUCGACGGACUGGGGGUGAAAGUGAGGGACCUUCGGGCCUCACGCGACCAGAUGAGCCGAUGUCGGAUAGCUAGUUGGCGGGGUAACGGCCCGCCAAGGCGACGAUCCGUAGCUGGUC